This 253-nucleotide ribosomal RNA is filed under the name uncultured bacterium. RNAcentral's name for it is "partial 16S ribosomal RNA". It matches the Rfam family "Bacterial small subunit ribosomal RNA", at positions 524 to 776 of the family's 1533-position model. The record is from RNAcentral.
UACGGGGGGGGCAAGCGUUGUUCGGAAUUACUGGGCGUAAAGGGCUCGUAGGCGGCCAACUAAGUCAGACGUGAAAUCCCUCGGCUUAACCGGGGAACUGCGUCUGAUACUGGAUGGCUUGAGAUUGGGAGAGGGAUGCGGAAUUCCAGGUGUAGCGGUGAAAUGCGUAGAUAUCUGGAGGAACACCGGUGGCGAAGGCGGCAUCCUGGACCAGCACUGACGCUGAGGAGCGAAAGCCAGGGGAGCAAACGGG